GAUGAACGCUGGCGGCGUGCCUAAUACAUGCAAGUCGAGCGAACGGACGAGAAGCUUGCGUCUCUGAUGUUAGCGGCGGACGGGUGAGUAACACGUGGAUAACCUACCUAUAAGACUGGGAUAACUUCGGGAAACCGGAGCUUAUACCGGAUAAUAUUUUGAACCGCGUGGUGCAAAAGUGAAAGACGGUCUUGCUGUCACUUAUAGAUGGAUCCGCGCUGCAUUAGCUAGUUGGUAAGGUAACGGCCUACCAAGGCAACGAGGCAUAGCCGACCUGAGAGGGUGAUCGGCCACACUGGAACUGAGACACGGUCCAGGCUCCUACGAGAGGCAGCAGUAGGGAAUCGUCCGCAGUGGGCGAAAGCCUGACGGAGCAGCGCGGCGUGAGUUGUGAAGGUCUUCGGAUCGUAAAGCUCUGUUAUUAGGGGAGAACAUAUGUGUAAGUAACUGUGCACAUCUUGACGGUACCUAGUCAGAAAGCCACGGCUAACUACGUG
RNAcentral lists this ribosomal RNA (497 nucleotides) under uncultured bacterium. RNAcentral describes it as "partial 16S ribosomal RNA". It matches the Rfam family "Bacterial small subunit ribosomal RNA", at positions 28 to 507 of the family's 1533-position model. The record is from RNAcentral.